Molecule: ribosomal RNA, 332 nt
Filed under: uncultured eukaryote
Lineage: Eukaryota
Description: partial 18S ribosomal RNA
Rfam family: Eukaryotic small subunit ribosomal RNA
Source: RNAcentral
CCCUUAGACGUUCUGGGCCGCACGCGCGCUACACUGACGGAGCCAGCGAGUAUAAACCUUGGCCGAGAGGUCUGGGAAAUCUUGUGAAACUCCGUCGUGCUGGGGAUAGAGCAUUGUAAUUAUUGCUCUUCAACGAGGAAUUCCUAGUAAGCGCAAGUCAUCAGCUUGCGUUGAUUACGUCCCUGCCCUUUGUACACACCGCCCGUCGCUACUGCCAACUGAGAUGGGUCCUGAAUUGUUAGGAACGCCCGUCAAGGGGCCUACCCGGUCCCUAGUGCGGUGACGAGAAUAACUGUAAAUGGCAUAUCUUGUAGGGAGUAAAAGUCGUAACA